Non-coding RNA from Ataeniobius toweri, 71 nucleotides. NCBI's taxonomy places the organism in Eukaryota, Metazoa, Chordata, Actinopteri, Cyprinodontiformes, Goodeidae. The record is from the annotation of a GenBank genome assembly.
GGCUGCAUGGUGGAGCAGUUGGUAGCACUGUUGCCUUGAAGGUCCUGGGUUCAAAUCCCAGUCUGGGGUCU